Molecule: ribosomal RNA, 224 nt
Filed under: uncultured bacterium
Lineage: Bacteria
Description: partial 16S ribosomal RNA
Rfam family: Bacterial small subunit ribosomal RNA
Source: RNAcentral
UGAGGAACAUGACCUUCGGCGGGGGAUAGCCGGCCCAACGGCCGGGUAAUACCGCGUACGACCACAUGGGGACAUCCCUGAGUGGUGAAAGCAGCAAUGCGCCGAUGGAGUGCCUCGCGGCCUAUCAGCUAGUUGGUGAGGUAACGCUCACCAAGGCGACGAUCAGUAGCUGGUCUGAGAGGAUGAUCAGCCACAGUUGGGACUGAGACACCGGCAAACCUCCG